Non-coding RNA from Gopherus flavomarginatus (Mexican gopher tortoise), 417 nucleotides. Lineage: Eukaryota; Metazoa; Chordata; Testudines; Testudinidae. The record is from the annotation of a RefSeq genome assembly.
AUGCUCUGGGCUCCCCUCAUCGUCCUGCUGGGAACGUGGUGCACAGGUUCCAGCUCAGAGCCUGUGCUGACUCAGCCACCCUCAGUGUCAGUGUCCCCAGGAAACACUGUGAAACUCUCCUGCACCAUGAGCAGUGGGACCAGCAUCAGUGGCUAUGCUGUGUCCUGGUACCAGAAGAAACCUGGGAAUUCUCCACGAUACCUGCUGAGAUACAAGUCAGACUCCGACAAGCACCAGGGCUCUGGGGUCCUUGCUCGUUUCUCUGGUUCCAAAGACACAUCCAGUAAUGCCGGCUAUUUAACCGUCUUCAGGGUCCUGGCAGAGGAUGAUGCUGAUUAUUAUUGUGUUGUGUGGAGGGGUGGCAGUGCUCCACACGAGGAGCCUUGGAAAAUCCUGCAGCAGACAGCUCUCACAUAG